ACACUCCUACGGGAGGCAGCAGUGGGGAAUAUUGGACAAUGGGCGCAAGCCUGAUCCAGCCAUGCCGCGUGAGUGAUGAAGGCCCUAGGGUUGUAAAGCUCUUUCACCGGUGAAGAUAAUGACGGUAACCGGAGAAGAAGCCCCGGCUAACUUCGUGCCAGCAGCCGCGGUAAUACGAAGGGGGCUAGCGUUGUUCGGAUUUACUGGGCGUAAAGCGCACGUAGGCGGACUAUUAAGUCAGGGGUGAAAUCCCGGGGCUCAACCCCGGAACUGCCUUUGAUACUGGUAGUCUUGAGUUCGGGAGAGGUGAGUGGAAUUCCGAGUGUAGAGGUGAAAUUCGUAGAUAUUCGGAGGAACACCAGUGGCGAAGGCGGCUCACUGGCUCGAUACUGACGCUGAGGUGCGAAAGCGUGGGGAGCAAACAGGAUUAGAAACCCCGGUAGUCCCAUGA
Molecule: ribosomal RNA, 451 nt
Filed under: uncultured organism
Description: partial 16S ribosomal RNA
Rfam family: Bacterial small subunit ribosomal RNA
Source: RNAcentral